This 75-nucleotide transfer RNA is filed under the name Marmota monax (woodchuck). RNAcentral's name for it is "tRNA.Undet". Lineage: Eukaryota; Metazoa; Chordata; Mammalia; Rodentia; Sciuridae. The record is from RNAcentral.
GGGGGUGUGGCUUAGUGGUAGAGUGCUCUCCACCUAGCAUGUGUGAGGUACUGGGUUCAAUCCUCAGCACCACAU